GAGAGUUAAAUAGUACGUGAAAUUGUUGAAAGGGAAACGAUUGAAGCCAGUCGUACCUUCGGGUAAUCAGCCUUUCGGGUGCGAUUUUGUGGAGCGUGAAGAGUUAAACGCCUUCAUGCCUGCAUAUUCGUGCACUUUGGGUGUACUUGCCCGUAUGGUUGGUUAACAUCAAUUUUGGUGGUCAUAAAAUGACUGGAGGAAUGUAGCUUCGAUCUCGUAUUGAAGUGUUAUAGCCUUCGGUAGAUGUGAUGAUCGAGAUUGAGGAUUGCAACGGAUACCCUUCGGGGCUACCUGUCUGAUCUCUGAUCGUUGCUUUGGUGCCGAAAGCUUGCUUACGGUUAUCAAAGUCGAUGGUCAAUAGGUUAGAACGGGUUAAAUUCGUUAAGGAUGUUGACGUAAUGGCUUUAAACGA
RNAcentral lists this ribosomal RNA (412 nucleotides) under uncultured Rhizophagus. Its description in RNAcentral is "partial 28S ribosomal RNA". Lineage: Eukaryota; Fungi; Glomeromycota; Glomeromycetes; Glomerales; Glomeraceae. The record is from RNAcentral.